GAGUAACACGUGACCAACCUGCCCCUUGCUCCGGGACAACCCAGGGAAACCUCGGCUAAUACCGGAUACUCCGCGCAGCCCGCAUGGGAGGCGCGGGAAAGCCCAGACGGCAAGGGAUGGGGUCGCGGCCCAUUAGGUAGACGGCGGGGUAACGGCCCACCGUGCCCGCGAUGGGUAGCCGGGUUGAGAGACCGAUCGGCCACAUUGGGACUGAGAUACGGCCCAGACUCCUACGGGAGGCAGCAGUGGGGAAUUUUGCGCAAUGGGGGAAACCCUGACGCAGCAACGCCGCGUGCGGGACGAAGGCCUUCGGGUUGUAAACCGCUUUCAGCAGGGAAUAUAGUGAAGGUACCUGCAGAAGAAGCUCCGGCUAACUACGUGCCAGCAGCCGCGGUAAUACGUAGGGAGCGAGCGUUAUCCGGAUUCAUUGGGCGUAAAGCGCGCGUAGGCGGCCCGUCAAGCGGGGUUUCAAAUCCAGGGGCUCAACCUCUGGCCGGACCCCGAACUGGCGGGCUCGAGUGCGGUAGAGGAAGGUGGAAUUCCCAGUGUAGCGGUGAAAUGCGCAGAUAUUGGGAAGAACACCGAUGGCGAAGGCAGCCUUCUGGGCCGCCACUGACGCUGAGGCGCGAAAGCUAGGGG
Molecule: ribosomal RNA, 639 nt
Filed under: uncultured bacterium
Lineage: Bacteria
Description: bacterial SSU rRNA
Rfam family: Bacterial small subunit ribosomal RNA
Source: RNAcentral